GCACUGCUGAGGAGUCCCACAAUAGGCGAAACGGCCGUCCAGUGC
Molecule: non-coding RNA, 45 nt
Organism: Schistosoma haematobium
Lineage: Eukaryota; Metazoa; Platyhelminthes; Trematoda; Strigeidida; Schistosomatidae
Source: Rfam